AACGAACGCUGGCGGCAUGCCUAACACAUGCAAGUCGAACGAGAUCUUCGGGUCUAGUGGCGCACGGGUGCGUAACGCGUGGGAAUCUGCCCUUUGGUUCGGAAUAACAGUUGGAAACGACUGCUAAUACCGGAUGAUGACGAAAGUCCAAAGAUUUAUCGCCAGAGGAUGAGCCCGCGUAGGAUUAGCUAGUUGGUGUGGUAAAGGCGCACCAAGGCGACGAUCCUUAGCUGGUCUGGGAGGAUGAUCAGCCACACUGGGACUGAGACACGGCCCAGACUCCUACGGGAGGCAGCAGUGGGGAAUAUUGGACAAUGGGCGAAAGCCUGAUCCAGCAAUGCCGCGUGAGUGAUGAAGGCCUUAGGGUUGUAAAGCUCUUUUACCCGGGAUGAUAAUGACAGUACCGGGAGAAUAAGCUCCGGCUAACUCCAUGCCAGCCGCCGCAGUAA
RNAcentral lists this ribosomal RNA (449 nucleotides) under uncultured bacterium. RNAcentral's name for it is "partial 16S ribosomal RNA". It matches the Rfam family "Bacterial small subunit ribosomal RNA", at positions 29 to 523 of the family's 1533-position model. The record is from RNAcentral.